ACAUCCAGCGAACUUGGCAGAGAUGCCUUGGUGCCUUCGGGAACGCUGAGACAGGUGCUGCAUGGCUGUCGUCAGCUCGUGUUGUGAAAUGUUGGUUAAGUCCCGCAACGAGCGCAACCCUUAUCCUUUGUUGCCAGCGAUUCGGUCGGGAACUCAAAGGAGACUGCCGGUGAUAAACCGGAGGAAGGUGGGGAUGACGCCAAGUCAUCAUGGCCCUUACGAGUAGGGCUACACACGUGCUACAAUGGCGCAUACAAAGAGAAGCGACCUCGCGAGAGCAAGCGGACCUCAUAAAGUGCGUCGUAGUCCGGAUCGGAGUCUGCAACUCGACUCCGUGAAGUCGGAAUCGCUAGUAAUCGUGGAUCAGAAUGCCACGGUGAAUACGUUCCCGGGCCUUGUACACACCGCCCGUCACACCAUGGGAGUGGGUUGCAAAAGAAGUAGGUAGCUUAACCUUCGGGAGGGCGCUUACCACUUUGUGAUUCAUGACUGGGGUGAAGUCGUAACAAGGUAAGCGUAGCGAG
Molecule: ribosomal RNA, 524 nt
Filed under: uncultured bacterium
Lineage: Bacteria
Description: bacterial SSU rRNA
Rfam family: Bacterial small subunit ribosomal RNA
Source: RNAcentral